RNAcentral lists this ribosomal RNA (253 nucleotides) under uncultured bacterium. Its description in RNAcentral is "partial 16S ribosomal RNA". It matches the Rfam family "Bacterial small subunit ribosomal RNA", at positions 524 to 776 of the family's 1533-position model. The record is from RNAcentral.
UACAGAGGGUGCGAGCGUUGUCCGGAAUCACUGGGCGUAAAGGGCGCGUAGGUGGCCUGAUAAGUAGGGGGUGAAAUCUCGAGGCUCAACUUCGAGGCUGCCUCCUAAACUGUCAGGCUUGAGCAGAGUAGAGGCAGGUGGAAUUCCCGGUGUAGCGGUGGAAUGCGUAGAGAUCGGGAAGAACACCCGUGGCGAAGGCGGCUCUCUGGGACGGUACUGACGCUGAGACGCGAAAGCGUGGGGAGCGAACAGG